This 1279-nucleotide long non-coding RNA is filed under the name Chloebia gouldiae (Gouldian finch). Its description in RNAcentral is "Erythrura gouldiae (Gouldian finch) lncRNA (ENSEGOG00005001971.1)". The record is from RNAcentral. Lineage: Eukaryota; Metazoa; Chordata; Aves; Passeriformes; Passeridae.
AGACAAUGAAGACUGAAAGCCUGAGCAUGCAAUUCUUGAGGCAAAACUUUUAUUUUCUGAAAAACUGCAAAGUCAAGCCAUAUGUUUCAUUGACAUUUUCUUCUGUAGCUCUAUUGUAUUUUGUUUUGCAUAAUAUGUUAAAUCAGAUCUUUAUGUCCUGAAUGCAGUUUUCUUGACUGCUAUCCAGCUACAGUUGUUUUGCUAUGCCUAGCAGGUACUACACACAGCUGGGAUGAGAGAAGGGCGUAAUUUCAGAGAAAUACUCUGCAUGGUCUUUUGGAUCCUUAAAAUGAAGGAAGGAAUAAAAUCUAACACAUCUUUAUGUUGGACAGUAUGACAGACAAAGCAGAACUUGUGGCUAUCAAAAAGCAAAGUAGAAAGGCUUGGUGUUAAGGAAAACUGAGCUGAUGUUUGCUGCCUGCAGGGUAUAAGGCAGAUACCAGGGCAUGGAUGACAGCUUCUGUUUUCACUUACUGCUGGCAGAAGAUGGAUGACAAGUCCUUUAUGAAAGAAAGAAAGUAAAACUGCACUGAUCCGAGGUAAAGAGAUUCAGAUGUUAGUCAAAGAAACUACCCUGGAGUCCUACAACAGCAAGUACCUCAGAAGAAUGGAAGAAGGGUCAUUCAUCAGAGAGAGAUCCUUCCCAACACCGGGAGGAAAGGACAAGACACUCUUCUCCUGCUUCAAGCAGCUGUACUUCCAAAGUGAAAAAGUCCUGGUUCCACUGGAUUGAAUCAUUUAGUCUAAAACAAAGAGGUUCUAUACAGAUGGAAAAACAUGUGUGUUGAAUGACAAGCAAUGUCUUAUUUACUGAAUGUAUUAAAAAUUGUUUUUCCAGACACAUUUCAUCAAAGCAAAGCUCCAUCCUUGAGAAAACAGCUAUAUUCACAAUCAAGACAGAUGUACAAGUCAUGUGAAAUAAGGCUGCCACUGGACUGAAUUAUUUAGUUGUUUGCUAGAGACUUGAUCAAAUUCAGCCUCUGUGUAAACACAAAAACAAAAAACAAAAUUAAAUGGGACACAGUUUGAGAUGUUCUACAUCCCGAUCCAAUCUUAUCAUCUGUGUGCAUCAGAUCUUUGGAAAUGUUAGUGUAAAAAUGUCCUUAUAGUGAAUGCAAACUUGUGGAUACAUUUUGGAUUAAAUAGUCCAUAAGAUUCAAUAGCAUAAUUUAGAAAAAAAGCAAUAAUCAAUCACACAUGCAUGAAGGAGUUUGAAUUUCCAAUGUGGUCAACUCUGGAAAAGUCCAUCUUCUGACAAAUAAAUGCAAGUGUUUUUUCA